Molecule: ribosomal RNA, 545 nt
Filed under: uncultured bacterium
Lineage: Bacteria
Description: bacterial SSU rRNA
Rfam family: Bacterial small subunit ribosomal RNA
Source: RNAcentral
AAUAGAUACCCUGGUAGUCCACGCCGUAAACGAUGAGUGCUAAGUGUUAGGGGGUUUCCGCCCCUUAGUGCUGCAGCUAACGCAUUAAGCACUCCGCCUGGGGAGUACGGUCGCAAGACUGAAACUCAAAGGAAUUGACGGGGGCCCGCACAAGCGGUGGAGCAUGUGGUUUAAUUCGAAGCAACGCGAAGAACCUUACCAGGUCUUGACAUCCCAUUGACCGCUAUGGAGACAUGGCUUUCCCUUCGGGGACAGUGGUGACAGGUGGUGCAUGGUUGUCGUCAGCUCGUGUCGUGAGAUGUUGGGUUAAGUCCCGCAACGAGCGCAACCCUUGUUCUUAGUUGCCAUCAUUUAGUUGGGCACUCUAAGGAGACUGCCGGUGACAAACCGGAGGAAGGUGGGGAUGACGUCAAAUCAUCAUGCCCCUUAUGACCUGGGCUACACACGUGCUACAAUGGACGGUACAAACGGUUGCCAACCCGCGAGGGGGAGCUAAUCCGAUAAAACCGUUCUCAGUUCGGAUUGUAGGCUGCAACUCGCCUACA